GCUUAACACAUGCAAGUCGAGCGGAAACGAGAAUAGCUUGCUAUUCGGCGUCGAGCGGCGGACGGGUGAGUAAUGCUUGGGAAUAUGCCUUUGAGUGGGGGACAACAGUUGGAAACGACUGCUAAUACCGCAUAACGUCUACGGACCAAAGGGGGGGAUGCUUCGGCACCUCUCGCUCAUAGAUUAGCCCAAGUGAGAUUAGCUAGUUGGUACGGUAAUGGCGUACCAAGGCGACGAUCUCUAGCUGGUUUGAGAGGAUGAUCAGCCACACUGGGACUGAGACACGGCCCAGACUCCUACGGGAGGCAGCAGUGGGGAAUAUUGCACAAUGGGGGAAACCCUGAUGCAGCCAUGCCGCGUGUGUGAAGAAGGCCUUCGGGUUGUAAAGCACUUUCAGUUGUGAGGAAAGGUGUAAGUUUAAUAAACUUGCACUGUGACGUUAGCAACAGAAGAAGCACCGGCUAACUCCGUGCCAGCAGCCGCGGUAAUACGGAGGGUGCGAGCGUUAAUCGGAAUUACUGGGCGUAAAGCGUGCGUAGGCGGUUAAUUAAGUCAGAUGUGAAAUCCCGGAGCUCAACUUCGGAACUGCAUUUGAAACUGGUUAACUAGAAUACUGUAGAGGGUGGUGGAAUUUCCAGUGUAGCGGUGAAAUGCGUAGAGAUUGGAAGGAACAUCAGUGGCGAAGGUGGCCACCUGGACAGAUAUUGACGCUGAGGCACGAAAGCGUGGGGAGCGAACAGGAUUAGAUACCCUGGUAGUCCACGCCGUAAACGAUGUCAACUAGCCGUUUGUGGGUUUAACCCGUGAGUGGCGUAGCUAACGCGCUAAGUUGACCGCCUGGGGAGUACGGCCGCAAGGUUAAAACUCAAAUGAAUUGACGGGGGCCCGCACAA
RNAcentral lists this ribosomal RNA (893 nucleotides) under uncultured bacterium. RNAcentral's name for it is "bacterial SSU rRNA". It matches the Rfam family "Bacterial small subunit ribosomal RNA", at positions 46 to 928 of the family's 1533-position model. The record is from RNAcentral.